Molecule: long non-coding RNA, 1672 nt
Organism: Leopardus geoffroyi (Geoffroy's cat)
Lineage: Eukaryota; Metazoa; Chordata; Mammalia; Carnivora; Felidae
Exons: 3
Source: RefSeq, a predicted model, not a curated record
AAUCCUCAUCUUUUGAGAGCCUCAAAUCAGCGUGUUUGCAGAUGAAAUGAUCCGAUGUCGGGGAUUUGCUUCAAAGUCAUGGCAGUCUCUAAGACGACAAUGAUUCCCCUGGACCAGCUUAUUAAAAGCAAAAAAAAAAAAAAAUCCAGUGGCAGAGGGGACGUGGGGGACCUGGAUGAGAUCUGUGAAGCCUCGGUGGAUGGAUGCUGUGUGGGAUCUACGAGAACCCCAGGCCCCGUGGAGGUCCGUGGGGGUCCCCGAAGGCAGAGCUGAUGCUGACCUGUACCCCCAUCUGGACAACGGAUGGCCCUGAUCCUCUCUGCUCAGAAAUGCCCAGUGCCACGGACGGAUGUGUGUGUCCCCACCGCCCCCCCCCCCCAGCAGGUCCACAAGGUGAAACCUCACCCCCAGCGGGAUGGUGUGAGAAGGUGGGGCUUUGGGGAGGCGACUGGGGGAUGGGGGCGGAGCCCUCAUGAAUGGGAUCAGUGCCCUGAUGAAAGCGACCCCACGGAGCUCCCUGCCCGCUUGCACCCGUACGAUGACAUCCGGGUCAUCGGCCACCGAAUCGGCUGGCCCCUUGACCUGGGACAUCCCAGUCUCCGGAACUGUGAGAAAUACAUCUGCGUUGUCUCUGAGCCGGUUCUACUGGGGCCUUCUGUCCUAGGAGCCCAAACCCACCAAGACAUGCAGCGUGACGAGCUCUGGGCCACAUUCUUCAUGCUCGCAACCUCCCGAUGGGGCCCGCGGUGCCCAAAGCGGCCCAGUGAGAGAACACACCCACCUUCCCAGCUCUGGCUUCCAGAUGGUGCCGGCCUGGCCUCCGGGUUUCCACGGUGGGGAAGGGAUGCCCUCCCCGCCCUCUGGAGUCCUCGAGACCCGCCUGUUCCAGGCUCUGGCCUGGUGGCGGAGAGGGGAGUGCUUUUUCCUGCCUUCCUCCGGGCUCCGUGACACAGACACCUGGGUCACAGAUGUGUCCCGCAGGGAGACAAAGGUGGCGAUGACCUAACCACCCCCACGGCGGCCAGUUCCUUGAAAAGGCGUGAGUCCCCAGCUCUUUUGGAAAGCAGCUCGGCGGAGUGUAUCAGGGGCCGGAAAGGUAGACGCUUCCCUCUCCAGCGAUCACACUUCUGGGAAUUUGCCCGAAGGAACUGAUCCUAAAAAAAGAGAAAAGAAAGAGCGCACACCCAGGGAUAGCUACCAAGGUGACAAGUAUAAUAGGAAAUCAUUGGGUGCCACCGCUCCCAGCCGCAGUGAAAAAAUAGAUUCUGCCUUGUAACCCAGUAUACGCGGAUGCUGGCGUAUAACUAAAUAGAAAACUUAUGCAAUGCUACUUAUUAUAAGAAAUGCCAUCUGGGGUUGUCUCUUGGAUGCUGUCCUUCCCCGUCCUGUCCUGUCUGUCCUGUCCUAUCUCAUCCCAUCCCGUUCUGUUUAAAAGGCAAGGUGGCUGGUCAUGACUCAGUCAUAUGACUUCAUGUCCCACCGCUUGGCGUGACCUUCGAGGAAGCAGGUACCAUACGUGUUCCCGUUCGGUGUCCAUUGCCCAGCCCCACCCCACCCCCUCCCUGCUCUGCGGCUUGUCUUUCCCCCCGGAGGAUUUCACAGCCCGAUCUCUGUAACUGGACAGACGGGGCUGGGGCCAUUUUGUCCUCCUAAAUGGUGGCAGAGGAGUUUC